Molecule: ribosomal RNA, 386 nt
Filed under: Pseudoloxops takaii
Lineage: Eukaryota; Metazoa; Arthropoda; Insecta; Hemiptera; Miridae
Description: eukaryotic LSU rRNA
Rfam family: Eukaryotic large subunit ribosomal RNA
Source: RNAcentral
GGGCGUCUUCUCUCAUUGCGAGAGAAGGCGCACUAAUAGCGUACACGCUGAUACCCGAAAGAUGGUGAACUAUGCCUGGCCAGGACGAAGCCAGGGGAAACCCUGGUGGAGGUCCGCAGCGAUUCUGACGUGCAAAUCGAUCGUCGGAGCUGGGUUUAGGGGCGAAAGACCAAUCGAACCAUCUAGUAGCUGGUUCCCUCUGAAGUUUCCCUCAGGAUAGCUUGCGCUCGGACGAGAGGAGUCUCAUCCGGUAGAGCGAAUGAUUAGAGGCCUUGGGGUCGAAACGACCUCAACCUAUUCUCAAACUCCAAAUAGAUGAGAACCCUGGCUUUCUUAAACUAUGAAGCCAUGGGGUUUCGGUUCAGAGUGCCAAGUGGGCCAAUUUU